This 465-nucleotide ribosomal RNA is filed under the name uncultured bacterium. RNAcentral describes it as "partial 16S ribosomal RNA". It matches the Rfam family "Bacterial small subunit ribosomal RNA", at positions 28 to 507 of the family's 1533-position model. The record is from RNAcentral.
GACGAACGCUGGCGGCGUGCUUAACACAUGCAAGUCGAACGGAAAGGCCCUGCUUGCAGGGCACUCGAGUGGCGAACGGGUGAGUAACACGUGGGUGAUCUGCCCUGCACUUCGGGAUAAGCCUGGGAAACUGGGUCUAAUACCGGAUAUGACCUUCCAUGUAGUGUGGGGGGUGGAAAGAUUUAUCGGUGUGGGAUGAGCCCGCGGCCUAUCAGCUUGUUGGUGGGGUAAUGGCCUACCAAGGCGUCGACGGGUAGCCGGCCUGAGAGGGUGGACGGCCACAUUGGGACUGAGAUACGGCCCAGACUCCUACGGGAGGCAGCAGUGGGGAAUAUUGCACAAUGGGCGGAAGCCUGAUGCAGCGACGCCGCGUGGGGGAUGACGGCCUUCGGGUUGUAAACCUCUUUCGACAGGGACGAAGCUUCGGUGACGGUACCUGUAUAAGAAGCACCGGCUAACUACGUG